This 851-nucleotide ribosomal RNA is filed under the name Bacillus tequilensis. RNAcentral describes it as "bacterial SSU rRNA". It matches the Rfam family "Bacterial small subunit ribosomal RNA", at positions 30 to 862 of the family's 1533-position model. Lineage: Bacteria; Bacillati; Bacillota; Bacilli; Caryophanales; Bacillaceae. The record is from RNAcentral.
CGAACGCUGGCGGCGUGCCUAAUACAUGCAAGUCGAGCGGACAGAUGGGAGCUUGCUCCCUGAUGUUAGCGGCGGACGGGUGAGUAACACGUGGGUAACCUGCCUGUAAGACUGGGAUAACUCCGGGAAACCGGGGCUAAUACCGGAUGGUUGUUUGAACCGCAUGGUUCAAACAUAAAAGGUGGCUUCGGCUACCACUUACAGAUGGACCCGCGGCGCAUUAGCUAGUUGGUGAGGUAACGGCUCACCAAGGCAACGAUGCGUAGCCGACCUGAGAGGGUGAUCGGCCACACUGGGACUGAGACACGGCCCAGACUCCUACGGGAGGCAGCAGUAGGGAAUCUUCCGCAAUGGACGAAAGUCUGACGGAGCAACGCCGCGUGAGUGAUGAAGGUUUUCGGAUCGUAAAGCUCUGUUGUUAGGGAAGAACAAGUACCGUUCGAAUAGGGCGGUACCUUGACGGUACCUAACCAGAAAGCCACGGCUAACUACGUGCCAGCAGCCGCGGUAAUACGUAGGUGGCAAGCGUUGUCCGGAAUUAUUGGGCGUAAAGGGCUCGCAGGCGGUUUCUUAAGUCUGAUGUGAAAGCCCCCGGCUCAACCGGGGAGGGUCAUUGGAAACUGGGGAACUUGAGUGCAGAAGAGGAGAGUGGAAUUCCACGUGUAGCGGUGAAAUGCGUAGAGAUGUGGAGGAACACCAGUGGCGAAGGCGACUCUCUGGUCUGUAACUGACGCUGAGGAGCGAAAGCGUGGGGAGCGAACAGGAUUAGAUACCCUGGUAGUCCACGCCGUAAACGAUGAGUGCUAAGUGUUAGGGGGUUUCCGCCCCUUAGUGCUGCAGCUAACGCAUAA